RNAcentral lists this ribosomal RNA (253 nucleotides) under uncultured bacterium. Its description in RNAcentral is "partial 16S ribosomal RNA". It matches the Rfam family "Bacterial small subunit ribosomal RNA", at positions 524 to 776 of the family's 1533-position model. The record is from RNAcentral.
UACGUAGACCACAAGCGUUAUCCGGAUUUAUUGGGCGUAAAGCGCAUGUAGGAGGCUCGGUGCGUCUCUGGUUAAAGCCCACUGCCUAACGGUGGAAGUGCCGGAGAUACGAUCGAGCUGGAGGAGGUGAGAGGUGCAUGGAACUCACGGUGUAGGGGUGAAAUCCGUUGAUAUCGUGGGGAACACCAAAGGCGAAGGCAGUGCACUGGUACCUUCCUGACUCUGAGAUGCGAAAGCGUGGGGAGCAAAAAGG